RNAcentral lists this non-coding RNA (103 nucleotides) under unclassified sequences. Its description in RNAcentral is "DUF3577 RNA". It matches the Rfam family "DUF3577 RNA". The record is from RNAcentral.
CGUAUCGGAAAAGCGCAGGAAACUGCGUGAAACUCGCCUGCAAUUCCCGGCAUCACCGCGCAAGCGGUGUGGCGACUGCUCUUGCUGCUGCGGCAGUGAUUUU